UGGGGAAUUUUGGACAAUGGGGGCAACCCUGAUCCAGCAAUGCCGCGUGAGUGAAGAAGGCCUUCGGGUUGUAAAGCUCUUUUGUCAGGGAAGAAACAGCAGCUCUAACACAGUCUGCGAAUGACGGUACCUGAAGAAUAAGCACCGGCUAACUACGUGCCAGCAGCCGCGGUAAUACGUAGGGUGCGAGCGUUAAUCGGAAUUACUGGGCGUAAAGCGUGCGCAGGCGGUUAUAACAGACAGGCGGGG
Molecule: ribosomal RNA, 249 nt
Filed under: uncultured Oxalobacteraceae bacterium
Lineage: Bacteria; Pseudomonadati; Pseudomonadota; Betaproteobacteria; Burkholderiales; Oxalobacteraceae
Description: partial 16S ribosomal RNA
Rfam family: Bacterial small subunit ribosomal RNA
Source: RNAcentral